This 200-nucleotide ribosomal RNA is filed under the name uncultured bacterium. RNAcentral describes it as "partial 16S ribosomal RNA". It matches the Rfam family "Bacterial small subunit ribosomal RNA", at positions 1300 to 1500 of the family's 1533-position model. The record is from RNAcentral.
GCAGCCUGCAACUCGGCUGCAUGAAGCUGGAAUCGCUAGUAAUCGCGGAUCAGAAUGCCGCGGUGAAUACGUUCCCGGGUCUUGUACACACCGCCCGUCACACCAUGGGAGUCGGGAAUGCCCGAAGUCAGUGACCCAACCGAAAGGGGGAGCUGCCGAAGGCAGGCCUGGUAACUGGGGUGAAGUCGUAACAAGGUACC